GAACCGGGGGAACUGAAACAUCUAAGUACCCCGAGGAAAAGAAAUCAACCGAGAUUCCCCCAGUAGCGGCGAGCGAACGGGGAGCAGCCCAGAGCCUGAAUCAGUGUGUGUGUUAGUGGAAGCGUCUGGAAAGGCGCGCGAUACAGGGUGACAGCCCCGUACACAAAAAUGCACAUGCUGUGAGCUCGAUGAGUAGGGCGGGACACGUGGUAUCCUGUCUGAAUAUGGGGGGACCAUCCUCCAAGGCUAAAUACUCCUGACUGACCGAUAGUGAACCAGUACCGUGAGGGAAAGGCGAAAAGAACCCCGGCGAGGGGAGUGAAAAAGAACCUGAAACCGUG
RNAcentral lists this ribosomal RNA (341 nucleotides) under Escherichia coli. RNAcentral's name for it is "partial 23S ribosomal RNA". It matches the Rfam family "Bacterial large subunit ribosomal RNA", at positions 181 to 560 of the family's 2925-position model. The record is from RNAcentral. Lineage: Bacteria; Pseudomonadati; Pseudomonadota; Gammaproteobacteria; Enterobacterales; Enterobacteriaceae.